This 502-nucleotide ribosomal RNA is filed under the name Coris gaimard (yellowtail coris). Its description in RNAcentral is "partial 12S ribosomal RNA". It matches the Rfam family "Bacterial small subunit ribosomal RNA", at positions 791 to 1521 of the family's 1533-position model. Lineage: Eukaryota; Metazoa; Chordata; Actinopteri; Labriformes; Labridae. The record is from RNAcentral.
UAUGCCUAGCCCUAAACAUCGAUAAAAAUUUACCUUCUUUAUCCGCCCGGGUACUACGAGCGUUAGCUUAAAACCCAAAGGACUUGGCGGUGCUUCAGAUCCACCUAGAGGAGCCUGUUCUAGAACCGAUAAUCCCCGUUAAACCUCACCUUUCCUUGUAUUUUCCGCCUAUAUACCGCCGUCGUCAGCUUACUCUGUGAGGAGCUCGUAGUAUGCACAAUUGGCUUAGCCCAAAACGCCAGGUCGAGGUGUAGCGUAUGGAAAGGGAAGAAAUGGGUUACAUUCAAUAACUAUAAUGAAUACGAAUGAUAUCAUGAAAAAAAUAUCUGAAGGAGGAUUUAGCAGUAAACAGAGAAUAGAGUGCUCUGCUGAAGCUGGCCCUGAAGCGCGUACACACCGCCCGUCACUCUCCCCGAAAACAAAUCAACACAUCACUAAUCAACCAAAGCCAUAGAGGGGAGGCAAGUCGUAACAUGGUAAGCGUACCGGAAGGUGCGCUUGG